GGAUUGCCCUAGUAACGGCGAGUGAAGCGGCAACAGCUCAAAUUUGAAAUCUGGCCCCCUCUCGGGGGCCCGAGUUGUAAUUUGAAGAGGAUGCUUUUGGCGAGGCGCCUUCCGAGUGCCCUGGAACGGGACGCCACAGAGGGUGAGAGCCCCGUAUGGUAGGACGCCGAGCCUCUGUAAAGCUCCUUCGACGAGUCGAGUAGUUUGGGAAUGCUGCUCAAAAUGGGAGGUAAACCCCUUCUAAAGCUAAAUACUGGCCAGAGACCGAUAGCGCACAAGUAGAGUGAUCGAAAGAUGAAAAGCACUUUGAAAAGAGAGUUAAACAGCACGUGAAAUUGUUGAAAGGGAAGCGCUUGCGACCAGACUCGCGCCCGCCGGAUCAGCCGUCGCUCGUCGUCGGCGCACUCCGGCGGGCUCGGGCCAGCAUCGGUUCGCCCCGGGGGGAGAAAGGCGGCGGGAACGUGGCUCUGCGGAGUGUUAUAGCCCGCCGCGCAAUACCCUCGGGCGGACCGAGGACCGCGCGUAUGCAAGGAUGCUGGCGUAAUGGUCGUCAGCGACCCGUCUUGAAACACGGACCAAGGAGUCGUCCUAGUAUGCGAGUGUUCGGGUGUCAAACCCCUGCGCGUAAUGAAAGUGAACGGAGGUGAGAGCUUCGGCGCAUCAUCGACCGAUCCUGAUGUUCUCGGAUGGAUUUGAGUAAGAGCAUACUGGGCCGGACCCGAAAGAAGGUGAACUAUGCCUGUAUAGGGUAAAGCCAGAGGAAACUCUGGUGGAGGCUCGCAGCGGUUCUGACGUGCAAAUCGAUCGUCAAAUAUGGGCAUGGGGGCGAAAGACUAAUCGAACCUUCUAGUA
This 852-nucleotide ribosomal RNA is filed under the name Wardomycopsis fusca. Its description in RNAcentral is "partial large subunit ribosomal RNA". It matches the Rfam family "Eukaryotic large subunit ribosomal RNA", at positions 72 to 949 of the family's 3401-position model. Lineage: Eukaryota; Fungi; Ascomycota; Sordariomycetes; Microascales; Microascaceae. The record is from RNAcentral.